GGUUGUAGCUCAGUGGAAGAGUGCUUGCCUAGCAUGUGUGUGGCACUGGGUUCUAUCCUCAGUACCA
RNAcentral lists this transfer RNA (67 nucleotides) under Marmota monax (woodchuck). Its description in RNAcentral is "tRNA.Ala". Lineage: Eukaryota; Metazoa; Chordata; Mammalia; Rodentia; Sciuridae. The record is from RNAcentral.